UACAGAGGUCUCAAGCGUUGUUCGGAUUCAUUGGGCGUAAAGGGUGCGUAGGCGGCGCGGUAAGUCGGAUGUGAAAUCUCGGAGCUUAACUCCGAAACUGCAUUCGAUACUGCCGUGCUUGAGGACUGGAGAGGAGACUGGAAUUUACGGUGUAGCGGUGAAAUGCGUAGAUAUCGUAAGGAAGACCAGUGGCGAAGGCGGGUCUCUGGACAGUUACUGACGCUGAGGCACGAAGGCCAGGGGAGCAAACGGG
Molecule: ribosomal RNA, 253 nt
Filed under: uncultured bacterium
Lineage: Bacteria
Description: partial 16S ribosomal RNA
Rfam family: Bacterial small subunit ribosomal RNA
Source: RNAcentral